GGUCAGCGCCUUGCGCUUUCCGCAUGCGCGGCGGUCUUGAGAACCGUCGUGGCAGCGAUGUCACCGUGGGUUCAAAUCCCACACCCACCG
Molecule: transfer RNA, 90 nt
Filed under: Streptomyces sp. SID7982
Lineage: Bacteria; Bacillati; Actinomycetota; Actinomycetes; Kitasatosporales; Streptomycetaceae
Description: tRNA-Ser
Rfam family: tRNA
About the family: Transfer RNA (tRNA) molecules are approximately 80 nucleotides in length. Their secondary structure includes four short double-helical elements and three loops (D, anti-codon, and T loops). Further hydrogen bonds mediate the characteristic L-shaped molecular structure. tRNAs have two regions of fundamental functional importance: the anti-codon, which is responsible for specific mRNA codon recognition, and the 3' end, to which the tRNAs corresponding amino acid is attached (by aminoacyl-tRNA synthetases). tRNAs cope with the degeneracy of the genetic code in two manners: having more than one tRNA (with a specific anti-codon) for a particular amino acid; and 'wobble' base-pairing, i.e. permitting non-standard base-pairing at the 3rd anti-codon position.
Source: RNAcentral